Long non-coding RNA from Acipenser ruthenus (sterlet), 1779 nucleotides. RefSeq lists it as uncharacterized. Lineage: Eukaryota; Metazoa; Chordata; Actinopteri; Acipenseriformes; Acipenseridae. The record is from RefSeq and is a predicted model, not a curated record. The transcript has 3 exons.
GGUAAGGAGAUCCGACUUUCUUUUCUACUCAUGUGAUAAUGGGGGCUUCGCGUUCUAUCUUUUAGAACUAUGGUUUAGUUUACCCAUUUAUUUUAUACAGCUUAAUUUUCGUUAGUCUGUGGUUAGUCGUCAGGUCUAAUUUAGUAGUCAAACGCAUUUCCUUUUCUUUAAUUCAAUUUGGUUUGACUUCAGACACCAGCGCAGCUUGCACUAACCUAGGCUUUGUUUUUGGCUAAUAAGUUUACAGUUUAUGUCGUUACUUUCUUUUCCAGUUCUGGAUCAGUUUGUUCUUUUUUCUUUUGAUACUUUGUAUUCCUUGUUAUGAUUUUUUGAAUGGUUUCUUUUUUUUUUCCUUCAACGGUGGAUUACAGCAGUUUUCUCCAUCAAAGGAUCAACCACAUAGUUGCCAGUUUACAGAUCGUGGUGAGAUCUACCUAAUUGGUUUUUUUUUUUCCCAAUCUGCUGCUGGAUUACACAUUUUUUUGUGUUGAAUGGACAUUAAGUUUUGGUUGUUUCAAGAGUAAUCUGAAGAUUUUGCCGGGCUGCUCGAACGAUUCUUCCUCCAGAUUCUGCGGAAAUCUUUCUUGAACUUCCACACCUGGAGUUAGUUGCAGUAGUUCCUGUUUUCCUGUGUUUGUCAAUAACAGCCCACACAAUGCUUUUCGUUUGGAGAGCCAAGUUGAGGCCUUUUGCAUCUGAAGAGACAGGCAGCUAGUGUUCAAUGUAUGUUUUCUUUUCUUUACAGCAUGCAUGAAUCAUUCAAGUGUGCAUUUCAGUUCAGAUCAAACAUGUGGAAUGGAUUAUAUGGACAGCAAUGUUCUGUCUGUCCUGAAGUGAACCCGGGUCUGAUUGACGAGUAUUCAGUGGUGUGGUGCAUCAUAAUAUAAGCCUCAUGAUAUAGAGAUACUUGACGAAUUGGAAGGCCCACAGCACAAGUAAUAUAGAGAGGAUUCUACAUUAACCUAAACAGAGUGCUGUGGUUAUUGCCUUUCAGGUGCUCCUUGUGGGCGAAAUAAAAACAGCGCUGCAUGUUUUUAUCUCAUGUAGUAUAUGUACAAAGGAUAGAAAAAGGAAGAAGGUCUGUGAAGUUAAAGUAAACAGUUGAAUUUAUGGGAGUUACAUUCCUUAUAUAAAUCUUUGCAUUUCAUUAGCACUGUGUAAUUUGGAACAGCGUGAUUUGAACGAAUGCAAGCAUAGAUUCUAAAAUGAGAUCUGGGAUUUUUUGGGCGCUGUAAUAUAAGUUCUUCAGAGAGAGAUCAACACAAAGCAUUGCCAAACCUUUUCAUAUUCGACGCUGCAGAGAGCGCAUGAAUAACUACAGUACUCCAUGAACCUGUGGCAGCUCAUCAUAACAGGCUAUGGAGGCUAAGCCUACGUGUAAUUCUGUACAAGUUAAAAAAGCGUGUUGCUACUGGCUAACAUGUAGCCUCAGAAUAGGUGGGAUAGGUGUCUGUUGCCAGGCAAGUUAUGGGUCACGAGUGGCUACUCCCUUAAGUGUCGAUUUUCAUAUAGUAUAUUGUUUAUAACGUUGUAGUGUUGUUUUUUUUUUAAUUCAUACGCAGUUGUCCUUACUUUCAAUUGAGGAAAAAAUAACAAAAAAGGUCAUCCAAAGCCUAAAUUGGACAUUCUUCAACAGGGAGGACCAAAACAAAAUUUGCCUUUUUAAUUGCUCAUGGUACGAAAAAACAAAAUGGUUGACAGCGAGUAUUCACAGUUUUGAUUUUUUAAAACCGGCCCUUCAUCAUUUCUGUGGGCUACAGUGAUUUAAAAAAAUUUCCA